This 396-nucleotide unclassified non-coding RNA is filed under the name soil metagenome. RNAcentral's name for it is "partial contains 5.8S ribosomal RNA, internal transcribed spacer 2, and large subunit ribosomal RNA". The stretch from base 1 to 122 matches the Rfam family "5.8S ribosomal RNA", at positions 35 to 154 of the family's 154-position model. The record is from RNAcentral.
GAUGAAGAACGUAGCGAAAUGCGAUACUUGGUGUGAAUUGCAGAAUCCCGUGAACCAUCGAGUCUUUGAACGCAAGUUGCGCCCGAAGCCAUUUGGUUGAGGGCACCUCUGCCUGGGCGUCACAUAUCGUUGCCCGAUGCCUAUUGCACUGUGAUAGGAAAUUCUAGGGCGAAAGAUGGCUUCCCGUGAGCGUUGUUGCCUCGCGGUUGGUUGAAAAUUGAGUCCUUGGUAGGGUGUGCCAUGAUAGAUGGUGGUCGAGUUUGCACGAGACCGAUCAUGUGUGCGCUCCCCAAAAUAUGGACUCUUUGACCCCACACGCGUCUUUUGACGCUCAUGACGAGACCUCAGGUCAGGCGGGGCUACCCGCUGAGUUUAAGCAUAUCAAUAAGCGGAGGA